CAGGGAAUCUUGCGCAAUGGGCGAAAGCCUGACGCAGCGACGCCGCGUGGGGGAUGAAGGCCUUCGGGUUGUAAACCCCUUUCAGGAGGGACGAUAAUGACGGUACCUCCAGAAGAAGCCCCGGCCAACUACGUGCCAGCAGCCGCGGUAAUACGUAGGGGGCAAGCGUUGUCCGGAUUUAUUGGGCGUAAAGAGCUCGUAGGCGGCUCAGCAAGUCGGUCGUGAAAACCCGGGGCUCAACCCCGGGAGGCCGGUCGAUACUGCUGUGGCUAGGGUCCGGUAGAGGAGAGUGGAAUUCCCGGUGUAGCGGUGGAAUGCGCAGAUAUCGGGAGGAACACCAGUAGCGAAGGCGGCUCUCUGGGCCGGUACCGACGCUGAGGAGCGAAAGCUAGGGGAGCAAACAGG
Molecule: ribosomal RNA, 405 nt
Filed under: uncultured Actinomycetes bacterium
Lineage: Bacteria; Bacillati; Actinomycetota; Actinomycetes
Description: bacterial SSU rRNA
Rfam family: Bacterial small subunit ribosomal RNA
Source: RNAcentral